This 417-nucleotide ribosomal RNA is filed under the name Escherichia coli. RNAcentral's name for it is "bacterial SSU rRNA". It matches the Rfam family "Bacterial small subunit ribosomal RNA", at positions 1129 to 1533 of the family's 1533-position model. The record is from RNAcentral. RNAcentral also lists the same sequence under 5 other names. Lineage: Bacteria; Pseudomonadati; Pseudomonadota; Gammaproteobacteria; Enterobacterales; Enterobacteriaceae.
GGCCGGGAACUCAAAGGAGACUGCCAGUGAUAAACUGGAGGAAGGUGGGGAUGACGUCAAGUCAUCAUGGCCCUUACGACCAGGGCUACACACGUGCUACAAUGGCGCAUACAAAGAGAAGCGACCUCGCGAGAGCAAGCGGACCUCAUAAAGUGCGUCGUAGUCCGGAUUGGAGUCUGCAACUCGACUCCAUGAAGUCGGAAUCGCUAGUAAUCGUGGAUCAGAAUGCCACGGUGAAUACGUUCCCGGGCCUUGUACACACCGCCCGUCACACCAUGGGAGUGGGUUGCAAAAGAAGUAGGUAGCUUAACCUUCGGGAGGGCGCUUACCACUUUGUGAUUCAUGACUGGGGUGAAGUCGUAACAAGGUAACCGUAGGGGAACCUGCGGUUGGAUCACCUCCUUACCUUAAAGAAGC